GUUUUCACUAUUAGCAACAUCAGGGACUUAUUAAGAUAUGGGGAGAAAUACCCUACUUUACAACACUUGGGAAUAGAGAUCUUGAAAAGUCUUGCAUUGGAAGAUGAUGCAACAGAGAGAAUUGGAGGAACCGGUGGAAUCCUUAAGGAGUUGUGCAACAUCUUUUUCAAGGACUCGACACCUAACAAUCGCCUGGAGGAACCGGUGGAAUCCUUAAGGAGUUAUGCAACAUUUUCCUCAAGGAGUCCAUACCUAAAAAUCAUGGUCAAGUAAGAACCGCAGCAGGAGAAGCACUAGCAAUGUUGGCACUUGAGAGCAA
RNAcentral lists this long non-coding RNA (319 nucleotides) under Nicotiana benthamiana. Its description in RNAcentral is "long non-coding RNA (NBEN_LNC040965)". Lineage: Eukaryota; Viridiplantae; Streptophyta; Magnoliopsida; Solanales; Solanaceae. The record is from RNAcentral.